This is a non-coding RNA of Plectropomus leopardus (leopard coralgrouper), 318 nucleotides long. The record is from RefSeq and is a predicted model, not a curated record. NCBI's taxonomy places the organism in Eukaryota, Metazoa, Chordata, Actinopteri, Perciformes, Serranidae.
CUUUGAAUCUUCCUGCCAGUUCAGCCACGGAGCGUCGGGGCGGAGCGUCCUCCUGAGGGACGGACAGAGGGUGUCAGGUGAACUUCAGGUCUUCUGACCAAUCACAGCUGGCGGUUUGUCCUCUGAGCGGGAGGACGUGGUUGGACGGAGGAGCGAAGACGGCAGGAGGAAACGCAGCGCUGUGAAGGAGGAAACCUUAUAAGGUGCAGCAGCAGAAUUUAACCCCUCACAGACCAGCUGCUUCCUGUCUCCAGUCUGUGCCGCCACCUGCUGGUUAACCUUCAGACGUCUCUGUGUCUGCAGCAGCUGACAUUUCAG